GGGCGAUUGGUUUAGUGGUAUAACGUCUGCUUAGCAUCCGACGAGGUCUUCUGAUCCUGGAUACUUGCUUGCUGAAGGUCGCGCGUUCGAUUCGCGCAUUGUCCA
This is a transfer RNA of Verticillium albo-atrum, 105 nucleotides long. It matches the Rfam family "tRNA". Rfam says of the family: Transfer RNA (tRNA) molecules are approximately 80 nucleotides in length. Their secondary structure includes four short double-helical elements and three loops (D, anti-codon, and T loops). Further hydrogen bonds mediate the characteristic L-shaped molecular structure. tRNAs have two regions of fundamental functional importance: the anti-codon, which is responsible for specific mRNA codon recognition, and the 3' end, to which the tRNAs corresponding amino acid is attached (by aminoacyl-tRNA synthetases). tRNAs cope with the degeneracy of the genetic code in two manners: having more than one tRNA (with a specific anti-codon) for a particular amino acid; and 'wobble' base-pairing, i.e. permitting non-standard base-pairing at the 3rd anti-codon position. The record is from Rfam. NCBI's taxonomy places the organism in Eukaryota, Fungi, Ascomycota, Sordariomycetes, Glomerellales, Plectosphaerellaceae.